UACGGGGGGGGCAAGCGUUGUUCGGAAUUACUGGGCGUAAAGGGCUCGUAGGCGGCCAACUAAGUCAGACGUGAAAUCCCCAGGCUUAACCUGGGAACUGCGUCUGAUACUGGAUGGCUUGAAUUCGGGAGAGGGAUGCAGAAUUCCAGGUGUAGCGGUGAAAUGCGCAGAUAUCAGGAGGAACACCGGUGGCGAAGGCGGGUCUCUGGGCCGAUACUGACGCUGAGGAGCGAAAGCGUGGGGAGCGAACAGG
Molecule: ribosomal RNA, 253 nt
Filed under: uncultured bacterium
Lineage: Bacteria
Description: partial 16S ribosomal RNA
Rfam family: Bacterial small subunit ribosomal RNA
Source: RNAcentral